This 335-nucleotide long non-coding RNA is filed under the name Olea europaea subsp. europaea. Lineage: Eukaryota; Viridiplantae; Streptophyta; Magnoliopsida; Lamiales; Oleaceae. The record is from RNAcentral.
AUUUCGCACAAUACUCUUCUAUCAAUUCAAUCCUUCUCUUUCUAAAUUCUAGCCAUUGUUUUCCAGAACAAAUUUUCCCCAAAAUCUUGUUUUCUCUGAAAAAAAAAAAAGGUCGUCCUUCUACCAUUAUUCGGUUUUGCCUUUAGCCUAAUUCGUAUUUUCUCGUCAUCAAUAGUGGAGAAGAAAAGUCUAGAAGUUGCAACAAUUAUUUUGGGCAUGUUCUUAUAAUUUUUCUUUUUUGUGUAUUUCUUUUUUUAUUUUCUUACUAUUUAUUUAAGGUACGUAGUUUUCCUUUGUUUGUAGAUGAAAAUCUAGCUGGGUUCGUCUUCCUUUAG